This is a small nuclear RNA of Phasianus colchicus (ring-necked pheasant), 164 nucleotides long. Its record names the gene U1. It matches the Rfam family "U1 spliceosomal RNA". Rfam says of the family: U1 is a small nuclear RNA (snRNA) component of the spliceosome (involved in pre-mRNA splicing). Lineage: Eukaryota; Metazoa; Chordata; Aves; Galliformes; Phasianidae. The record is from Ensembl.
AUACUUACGUGGCUUGGGAGACACCACAAUAACGCAGCUGGUUUUACCAAUGUGAGGCUUAUCUCCUGAACUCCAGGUGUGCUGACACUUUCGAUUUCCCGAAAGGCAUGAAACUCUACAACAUACUUUGUGGUAGUAGGAGACUAUAUUCAUGCUCUCACCUA